This 1543-nucleotide ribosomal RNA is filed under the name Klebsiella pneumoniae. RNAcentral describes it as "bacterial SSU rRNA". It matches the Rfam family "Bacterial small subunit ribosomal RNA". The record is from RNAcentral. Lineage: Bacteria; Pseudomonadati; Pseudomonadota; Gammaproteobacteria; Enterobacterales; Enterobacteriaceae.
AAAUUGAAGAGUUUGAUCAUGGCUCAGAUUGAACGCUGGCGGCAGGCCUAACACAUGCAAGUCGAGCGGUAGCACAGAGAGCUUGCUCUCGGGUGACGAGCGGCGGACGGGUGAGUAAUGUCUGGGAAACUGCCUGAUGGAGGGGGGAUAACUACUGGAAACGGUAGCUAAUACCGCAUAACGUCGCAAGACCAAAGUGGGGGACCUUCGGGCCUCAUGCCAUCAGAUGUGCCCAGAUGGGAUUAGCUAGUAGGUGGGGUAACGGCUCACCUAGGCGACGAUCCCUAGCUGGUCUGAGAGGAUGACCAGCCACACUGGAACUGAGACACGGUCCAGACUCCUACGGGAGGCAGCAGUGGGGAAUAUUGCACAAUGGGCGCAAGCCUGAUGCAGCCAUGCCGCGUGUGUGAAGAAGGCCUUCGGGUUGUAAAGCACUUUCAGCGGGGAGGAAGGCGAUAAGGUUAAUAACCUUGUCGAUUGACGUUACCCGCAGAAGAAGCACCGGCUAACUCCGUGCCAGCAGCCGCGGUAAUACGGAGGGUGCAAGCGUUAAUCGGAAUUACUGGGCGUAAAGCGCACGCAGGCGGUCUGUCAAGUCGGAUGUGAAAUCCCCGGGCUCAACCUGGGAACUGCAUUCGAAACUGGCAGGCUAGAGUCUUGUAGAGGGGGGUAGAAUUCCGAGGUGUAGCGGUGAAAUGCGUAGAGAUCUGGAGGAAUACCGGUGGCGAAGGCGGCCCCCUGGACAAAGACUGACGCUCAGGUGCGAAAGCGUGGGGAGCAAACAGGAUUAGAUACCCUGGUAGUCCACGCCGUAAACGAUGUCGAUUUGGAGGUUGUGCCCUUGAGGCGUGGCUUCCGGAGCUAACGCGUUAAAUCGACCGCCUGGGGAGUACGGCCGCAAGGUUAAAACUCAAAUGAAUUGACGGGGGCCCGCACAAGCGGUGGAGCAUGUGGUUUAAUUCGAUGCAACGCGAAGAACCUUACCUGGUCUUGACAUCCACAGAACUUUCCAGAGAUGGAUUGGUGCCUUCGGGAACUGUGAGACAGGUGCUGCAUGGCUGUCGUCAGCUCGUGUUGUGAAAUGUUGGGUUAAGUCCCGCAACGAGCGCAACCCUUAUCCUUUGUUGCCAGCGGUUAGGCCGGGAACUCAAAGGAGACUGCCAGUGAUAAACUGGAGGAAGGUGGGGAUGACGUCAAGUCAUCAUGGCCCUUACGACCAGGGCUACACACGUGCUACAAUGGCAUAUACAAAGAGAAGCGACCUCGCGAGAGCAAGCGGACCUCAUAAAGUAUGUCGUAGUCCGGAUUGGAGUCUGCAACUCGACUCCAUGAAGUCGGAAUCGCUAGUAAUCGUAGAUCAGAAUGCUACGGUGAAUACGUUCCCGGGCCUUGUACACACCGCCCGUCACACCAUGGGAGUGGGUUGCAAAAGAAGUAGGUAGCUUAACCUUCGGGAGGGCGCUUACCACUUUGUGAUUCAUGACUGGGGUGAAGUCGUAACAAGGUAACCGUAGGGGGAACCUGCGGUUGGAUCACCUCCUUA